Long non-coding RNA from Papio anubis (olive baboon), 3497 nucleotides. NCBI's taxonomy places the organism in Eukaryota, Metazoa, Chordata, Mammalia, Primates, Cercopithecidae. The record is from Ensembl.
UGAGAAAAUUAAUUGAAAAUUUUCAGUGCUUAUUGAAAAGAAUGUCAUGUCAUGUUUGAUUUUACUUUACCUAUCUUUUGUUUUUUUGUUAGGCUUUGUUUGUAGUGCUCAUUUAUUUUUCACUAUAUGGCCUGUAUAUAUAUUCUUUGUGUAUGCAUGUUUUUUGAACUUGAAAGGUUUGCAUUUUUGUUCCAGUGGUCAUCUUAAUAACUUUGAAACUAUUUUUUAUACAUUAUUGAAAGCGUUGAGCAGUAUGUUUCCUGUUCCAACUUCUAGAUUCUUUGGUUAGAUUAUGUACAUAUUGGAUUUCUUUUGUUUCUUUCCAUUUACAUAAUUUUCUCUCUAAUCGUUUUUUUCAUUUUCAUUUCAUUUAACUUGCUUUUCUCAAUCUGGUAUUUUGUGAUUCUUAAAACAUUCUUUAUUUUGCUUUUUUUUUCCCCUUAACAAGUGUUUAUUCCAAGUUUGUGUUAAUUUUGUCUUCAUUUUUUAAAUAGUUAUUUUUUCCUCUCACUUUUUCAAUUCAUAUUUAAGUUCCUUUUGUGGUUCUGCUGCUUUUAAAAAAAAUUUCCAGUGAAGGGACUUAAGAAAGUUGAGUUAGUCAUACUUAUUAGUUCAUGCCACAUUAUCAUAAUUGAUUCAUGGAAGGCUAGUUUUAUUUAUUUAUGGUUUCCUUUUUAUUCCUAUUCUUAUCCUCCCCUGGAUAAGCAGUCAUACAAAUGCAUUAAAUAUGUAUCUUUUUGUUUACAUAUAUUUUUGUAAAAUGUGUAUGGGUUUUAUAUACAUACUUUUAAAAUUAAAAAAAAAUUUAGAGAGAACCUUACUAUGUUGCCCAAGCUAGCCUCAAACUCCUGGCCUCAAGAGAUCCCCUGCCUCAGCCUCCCAAGUAGCUGGGACUACAGGCCUGCACCACCAUGCCUGGAUGAUUGAUUACUUUUUGAUUGACUGUUCAUGUUUGGAGGAGAGGUUUUCCAAGAAAUGCUAAUUGCAGAAGGUUUGUGCUGAGAGGCCUGGACCACGUUUCAGCCUAGUAGGAAUUCUGCUUAUGACACAGAGGUUGUGUAGAUGAGUUCCUUUGGCUUCUACUUUUAACUAAGAGAAACUGGCAAUCACAGGGCUGCUCACGUCGCAGUCUAUAUAUAUUUUUUCCAUUUUGCCUCACCAACACAAUGCUUCUGCAUAUGUGGUAUGUCUGAAUGAUUCUUCUUCCAAUGGUGCCUUAUCACCUUCUCUUUUAUAAUCAACCAGGUUGAAGGAAGACACUGCUGCCUGUCCACAUACUUGAUUCCUUUAUUUCAAAUGAAAGAUUGUUGGUUUUGUCUCUAGGGUAAGUCACUUACUUUUGUGAAGUGUGCUUUGUUGAUGUUGAUGACGUCUUCUGCAGUCUGCAGGCAUUUACAUCUUUUAUCAAAGUAGUUCUGCCUUUCACUGUAUUUCACAUAUAUUGUAGUUCAGGGUUUCAGGUAUCUACUGUUUUCAAUGAAAAUGAAUUUUGUAUUAUAGUCAUUAUCCUUGUUACUGAGUAAUUUCUGAGAGGUGGAAGAAUAGAGGAUGCUAUCUUUACUCUCUGGAUACAUUUUUUAAAUCACUGUUUUAUGUAUAUAUUAUGUUAACUCAGCUAGAUUGUAGUUUGGAGAAUUUUCUGCUUUACUGUGUACCAUGCAUUCUUUACUGUUGAUUCCUAAAGUGUCAUAAAAAUUGCUUCUAAUGUUUGUUGAGAAAUUUCAGACAGGCCUAACUCUUAAAGCUUCUGAUUCAUAAAGCCUGAGUUAAACAAGCAUCUCAGGUGAUUCUGAUGCUAGUGGUUCACCAACUGCAUAUUUUACGUAGUAGUCACUCAAUAAAUAACUGAAUGACUUACAAGGGCAUGGGUACUUAUGUGAGAACGCUUGGUAUAGGAAAUGGAGUAGAUAUUGUUUUUAUAAAUAAGACUGGCUGAGGGUACACAGUAAAUACAUACAAUUUUAUCUGUCGCUUUAAAAAAUUAAAAAAAAAAACACUGGCUGAGAUAAAAUAUGCAGCAAUAGAGGGGGUACUGAGGCAGGGAUAUUUUCCUUGGAGAAUAGAGAAACUUUUCUUUCUGCCUCAGAAAUGUUCUGUCAUCUGUUUAAUUGGAUAUUACUUAGCCCACUAAUGACACACAAUAAAUAACUGAUGAAUGACAGCAUCGAAAUUGGGCAAACACUGAGAGACAAGACUCCCCCAAAGUAACCCAAGAAAUACAAGUUAUCUAUGUGUUUAUGUGAAUAACCAGGCAAAUACUACCUUAUGGUUAAUUUAAACAAAAGAUGAAUUGUUCAUUAAUUUGUGGAUGUGUUAGAUACAUCAAAGUGUAACUUCUUCCCUGUUUCUACUCAUACUUUUUAAAUUUUAAUUUAAUUUAAUUUUAUUUUAUUUUAUUUUUGGGGCAGACUGCUAGUUCUUUUUCCCGGGCAGAUGACUGCUGACAUAGAGACCACGUUUUCUGUCUUCCCUUAUAGCCAUGUUUGGCUAUGUGAUAAAGUUGUCAUGAAGUAAUGAGUCCUACUUUAUUUUUCUUCAUAACACACACAUAUUAUUACUCGACAUUAUGUUAUAUACUUACAUCUGUACUGUCUCUUCCAUUAGAAUGUAAAAGCUAUUAAAGCAGGGACAUUAUUUUAUUCUCUGUCAUUUUCCAAGUAGCUGAAAAGUAUCUGGCAUGUAAAGGACACUCAAUAAGUAAAGGAAUUCAUGCAUAAUUAUUGCAAAAAUAUAGAGAUUAGGUAUUACAGGAUAUGUGGAUCCCAGUAUUUCUAUAAUGAGGAUGUAGUAAGCCUAAUGAAGAAGAGUUUAUCUUGAUUUGGCUUACCAGUUGAACUUGAAUGACCACCCUCUGUGUGCAUACUUAGCAUUCAUAUUUGCAAAGGGAUGGGGACUGACUGGGUUGAUUUCCCUUGACAGAAUGGAGGAUCCCUACUGGGGAGAGCUUCAUGCCACUUCAAAAGUUUGACCUUUCUCAUCUUCAAUCUAGCCACACAGGGUUGCUUUUGGCUCAGGUAUCUAUCUAGGUCCAGUUAUUAGUGGUUAAUACAGCAUGGUUGGUUUCACUUAAUGUACAAUGGCAUGAGUCACAGCAACACUGUGCAGAAGACCAUCUAUCCUCACAAGAAUGUGGUGAACAUUGCUGCCACUCCCAUGCUUUCGAAAUAAAUAGUCUUUUCAAAAUAGUUGCUUCACGGGAAGUUGUCUGUAUUUGUGUUAUAUGUAUUUCGAAUGUACUCAACAACAUUUUUUAGAUGUCCUGUUUUGAAGUUCAGGAUGAUACAACGGAAAUAUAUAGAUUAGUAUUCCAAAGACCUGGGUUCAAGACUCAGCUUUGGGACAUUUUAGCUCUGUGACCUUGGAUAAAAUCACUUCCUCUUCCGGGGUCUCAGCUUUCUCAUUUGUGAAAAUAGAUGGUGAUGGGAGAUGACUUAAAGGUCUCUUCUAACUCCAAUCAUCUAUGAGUCUGAUUAUUUUCAGAGUUUUCACGGCAUUAC